Panthera uncia (snow leopard) is the source of this 1399-nucleotide long non-coding RNA. RefSeq lists it as uncharacterized. The record is from RefSeq and is a predicted model, not a curated record. The transcript is spliced from 3 exons. NCBI's taxonomy places the organism in Eukaryota, Metazoa, Chordata, Mammalia, Carnivora, Felidae.
GUCUCCCAUUAUUAUACAUUAAUUAGAACUAGACACUAGAAUCCAGCAGAUUAAGAUCAAAAGGUCAGCUCUAUUUCCAGCAAACAUAUAUGGAAAGUACAACUUGGACCUUCACUGCAAUCAGCCUUCCUCAUAACCCCCACCUAGUUGAACUUAUCUGACAUAGUCAGAUACAGAGAAGCAGGAUGCUUGAAUCUACACCAAUGUGCAAGGUUUUGAGGGUAAGAGUCACUGCUAUUACCAUAUAAAGGCUUCACCACUAGUAGACAGGUUUUCCUGAAAGAGAAAGGAAAAACACCUAGAUUCUCUUCCCUCAAACUCACCCAUCUAAGAAGACAGCCCUUCUCCUCUGGUGGCCAACUUGCCACCCACUCCCACUAUUUUGUCUCUUUCAAACACAUCCCCAAUGUUAGUUAUAGAAGACCCCUCUUCCACGUUGCCCAAAUGUUGGAAGGUGACCCUAUUCUCAACUCAAGCCAAUCGUAGUACCUCUAAUCCCCUUGCAAGUGAUUGGUUCUAGAAUUCAGCUUUCAGCACAGCAUUAUUAUAGAAUGCUAUAGAAUGCACAGCAUUAUUCUAGAUCCUGCAAUUGGACCAGGGAUGGGCACAUGAUACAAACUAGCCUAAUUAGACUGAAUAAGACGUUUGCUUGAACAGUUGGAAAAAAGAUUUUCUAAUGAGGAAGCAUUUUGUUCAAGGACUGAGAGUAGCCAUCUUCUAACUGCAGAAGAGUCAGUCUGAAGAAAAAAGCCUUCCCCUAGAGGCUGAGAAGAGGCAAAGAAGAGCAGAGAAAUAGAUUUCCAGCUCUAAUUAUAACAGAUGAUAAAACUAAAGCACAGAGAAUUUCUAUAUCUUGCCAAGAUCAGACAGCUCUAAGUGAUGGAGGAAAAAUUCAACCUCAGGUUUUCAUGCCACGUGAGUCUGUAUUUUUCCACUGGCUACUGAAUGAAAUUCAAAGUCUUCCAGAAUGAACAUACUUGUCCAGUCUAAUCAUUGAGUAUGUCUAUACAUACCCAACCUGAAAAAGCCCCACAAGCUUCCCUGCCUUUAUUUAAUGAUGCCAGGCAUUUGUAUGCCUGGGUUGCCUUUAUUGAUGAUGUUCCAUUACUUUGGAAUAAAGUUCUCUACUCAAGGAAAAUCUUUCAAUUUCUGAGUCCUGUGCUAGCCCCAUUAUGAGGGCUUCUCAUUGCUUGUUCUCUUCACUCAUGUUGUUUUCUUUGAAAGCAAGAGCCUGAACCAGGGAGGUGGAAGUAGAUGUGGGGAAGAAGCAAAGUAGGUAAUAAAAGUCUAAGCAAAGGAUUGUGGGGAAGAUGGACACAGAGAAGGGAGAAGUUCAAGAUAAAAUGAUAGUCUUGGCCAGGCCCAGUUAGCUGGAGAGAAUUAUCAUGUCUCCCUUGAC